UCAAGGGGAGGAGGUGUGGUCAAGGUGAAGGACACAGAACAAGAUGGAGUCCGCCGGCGUAGGCCCGCCCUUUCACUUCCAUGAUCCGGUCUUUCAUCUUCUAAGGCCUUGCCCUCUUUGUAGUCAGCUGUCAGAAAGGAAAAGAAAGAUCACGAAGGAAGGAGUUUUUUUCCAGCCAGACCUGGAAGUGAUGUUCAACAAGCCCACCUUCGUUCCACUGGCCAGCGCUUGGUCACAUGGCCAACCUAAGUGCACAAGAGGCUGGGAAAGUUAGUCCAGCUUGUGUCCAGGAGGAAAAGGAAAUAGAAUUCCAUGAAUACAGAGCAGUCUCUGCCACAGCACAUUUCUUAGAAGACUUCGGAUAUUAAUUUGAUUUUCUCCUUUUGAUAGUCUUGGUUAAUUUAAGGAACUGUGAGACCGCGCCACGGUGGGUAUCCACAUCCCUCUGAGAAAAUAGAUAGGGUUCUGCACUAAAGGUGUUUAUGACAGAGAAAUAGAAAUUAGCAAAAUUGGAAACAAAAAUUAAAGGAGAAGAGAAAAUUGAGACACUGUGAUAUGACAAGAUACAAAUACAUUUUGGUCUUCCUCCAAGCUUCCAGGAAUAUAACCCCUAAAAUGCUUGUGAUUUCCUAAAGUGAGAAGAGCUAUAGGGACAUCUUUUGUUAUAAUAUUUUGUUCUAAUGAUAUAAUAUUUAGUUUUUGUUCCCAGUUCCUGAAAUAGCUCCAGAGUAAUGGAGGUAAAAUGGGUAUCUUUUGUUAUUCAUAACAUGCCUCUUUCAACACUUGACUUUAUGUUAAUAGGUGACUGGGGAAAGGGGGCUGGUUGCCAUGGGAACCAACCCCCAUUACAAAGUUGAAAUUUUCAGCCCUGCCUCCUGGGAGGGGAGAGGAGCUGGAGACCGACUCUGUCACCAAGGGCCAAUGAUUUAUUUAAUCGAUCGUGCCUACAUAAUGAAGCUUCCAAAAAAAUGCUGGUUUGGUGAACAUGCGGAGGUACUGGAAGGGUGGUGUGCCUGGAGAGGCCACGGUAGCUUCAUAUUCCUUUCCCCGUACCCAGCCCUGUUCACCUCUUCUCUCUGGCUGUUCCUGAGUCAUCAGAGACCCGUAUAAUGUUCCUUUUAUCAUAGACCCAUAAUCUAGUUAAGUAAAUUGUUUCCUUGAAUACUGCGAGCCGCUCUAGCAAAUUACCAAACCCAAGGCACGUGUUGUGGGGACCUCCCGUUUAUAGCCCAUCAGAAGCACAGGGAAGAAAUAACCUGGUGCCUGAAAGGUGAGGGGCCACAUCUGUGGGACUGAGAGCCCUUACCCUGUGGGAUCUGACGCCGUCUCCAGGUAGAGAGUAUUAGAAUUAAAUUGUCAAAUUAAAUUAAAUUAAAUUGUUAAAUUUAAUUGAGUUAAAUUCGAGGACAUCCUGCUGGGGCUGGAUCCUUGGGGCGGAGAAAAAGCCUGCACACCUGGGCACCGAAAUGGAAGCGUGAUAGAGGCAGAGUGUGAGAGUAAGGGGAGAAGCGACAUUUUUUUUAAGCUCCAAAACCUUCAAAUACAGAGCUCAAGUGGAGGACGUUGGAGGAGGAUUUUAAGCUAACUCAGGUGACGUCUACACCUACGCACUUGGAGGUCCAUUCCAGAAAGCUAAGCCAAGAGUCAAAAAGAGCCAAGGAAAUGGACAUUUGUAGACCUCGAGGGAAACACAGGUGCAGAGUGAGGGGUGCGAUCCUGAGCACUCAAUGGAAGGCGAGAGGGAGAAGCUUCUAGCACAGCACUUCUCAAACUGGGCUGUGCACACCAGUCACCUGAGACGGUAUGAAAAGGCAGGGCCUGAGGUUCUAACACACGUCCCGAUCGCAUGGGUGAUGCUGAUGCCACCAGCCCAUGGACCAUGCCUGCAGGAGCAAGCCCCUGAAAUAUUUACACCCAUUUUCCAUCGGCCAGUGAAGAGAGCUGAAAAAAUAAAACGAAGAAAUGAAAGCAGGAAGCUCUUAAGUCCUAUCCAGUAGUUUCCCAGGAUUGUCAGCCGCUUGAAUGUUUAUGCCUUACUGGAUAAUUCCUAAAAACAAAAACAAAAACAAAACCCUUAUUGCCUUAUGUCCCAGGUGUUUUCUUUUUUUUGUUAAUGAAGAUACUUGCGUAAGAAAUGUUUCAGGUUGGGUGCCUGGGUGGCUCAGUAGGCUAAGCGUCUGGCUUCUACUUCUUUGGCUUAGGUCAUGA
Molecule: long non-coding RNA, 2208 nt
Organism: Felis catus (domestic cat)
Lineage: Eukaryota; Metazoa; Chordata; Mammalia; Carnivora; Felidae
Exons: 3
Source: RefSeq, a predicted model, not a curated record